This 253-nucleotide ribosomal RNA is filed under the name uncultured bacterium. RNAcentral's name for it is "partial 16S ribosomal RNA". It matches the Rfam family "Bacterial small subunit ribosomal RNA", at positions 524 to 776 of the family's 1533-position model. The record is from RNAcentral.
GACGUAGGAUGCAAGCGUUGUCCGGAAUCAUUGGGCGUAAAGCGUUCGUAGGCGGACUAAUAAGUCUGAUGUUAAAGCCCGGGGCUCAACUCCGGUUCGGCAUUGGAUACUGUUAAUCUUGAGUAUGGUAGAGGCAAGGGGAAUUCCUAGUGUAGCGGUGAAAUGCGUAGAUAUUAGGAGGAACACCGGUGGCGAAAGCGCCUUGCUGGGCCAAAACUGACGCUGAGGAACGAAAGCCAGGGUAGCAAAUGGG